This 456-nucleotide ribosomal RNA is filed under the name uncultured bacterium. Its description in RNAcentral is "bacterial SSU rRNA". It matches the Rfam family "Bacterial small subunit ribosomal RNA", at positions 340 to 786 of the family's 1533-position model. The record is from RNAcentral.
UACGGGAGGCAGCAGUGGGGAAUAUUGCACAAUGGGCGCAAGCCUGAUGCAGCCAUGCCGCGUGUAUGAAGAAGGCCUUCGGGUUGUAAAGUACUUUCAGUCGUGAGGAAGGUGUUAAGGUUAAUAACCUUAGCAAUUGACGUUAGCGACAGAAGAAGCACCGGCUAACUCCGUGCCAGCAGCCGCGGUAAUACGGAGGGUGCGAGCGUUAAUCGGAAUUACUGGGCGUAAAGGGCACGCAGGCGGUUAAUUAAGUUGGAUGUGAAAUCCCCGGGCUUAACCUGGGAAUGGCAUUCAAGACUGGUUAGCUAGAGUCUUGUAGAGGGGGUAGAAUUCCGAUGUCGUAGCGGUGAAAUGCGUAGAGAUGUGGAGGAAUACCGGUGGCGAAGGCGGCCCCUGGGACAAAGACUGACGCUCAUGUGCGAAAGCGUGGGGAGCAAACAGGGAUUAGAUACC